GUUUUUAUCAAGUUUCUUUUGGUAGUUAGUGGAAAAUGGACACAAGCGAGCCUGGAGGAAGGGACCCAACUGGGAGGGCAUUCUAGUAACCCCAAGCUUUGAAUUAGAGGACAUCACCCCACCCCCCACUAGCCCUUGCUCAGGGCUACUGGGCCCAUGAGGCACUCAUAGAGAUUUAGGAUCAUUUUAGAACUUUGUUGUUUUAGGUCCAGCUGGAAAAGAGUGGGGCUGAAGGAGAGAUGUGGACCUUGAUCACAGAGGCAGGCUUCCCAUCCACUAAGCCCACCAGCAGAUGGGACACACAGAGGUCCAAGAAUAAAGUGCAAGGUUCCUAAUUCCCUGACGUGCAUGCUGCCUCCUUCC
Molecule: long non-coding RNA, 363 nt
Filed under: Mustela putorius furo (domestic ferret)
Lineage: Eukaryota; Metazoa; Chordata; Mammalia; Carnivora; Mustelidae
Description: lncRNA (ENSMPUG00000030139.1)
Source: RNAcentral